RNAcentral lists this ribosomal RNA (725 nucleotides) under uncultured bacterium. RNAcentral describes it as "bacterial SSU rRNA". It matches the Rfam family "Bacterial small subunit ribosomal RNA", at positions 157 to 883 of the family's 1533-position model. The record is from RNAcentral.
GUAAGACUAAUACCCAAUGACGUCUCUAGAAGACAUCUGAAAGGGAUUAAAGAUUUAUCGGUGAUGGAUGGGGAUGCGUCUGAUUAGCUUGUUGGCGGGGUAACGGCCCACCAAGGCAACGAUCAGUAGGGGUUCUGAGAGGAAGGUCCCCCACAUUGGAACUGAGACACGGUCCAAACUCCUACGGGAGGCAGCAGUGAGGAAUAUUGGUCAAUGGACGAGAGUCUGAACCAGCCAAGUAGCGUGCAGGAUGACGGCCCUAUGGGUUGUAAACUGCUUUUAUAAGGGAAUAAAGUGAGUCUCGUGAGGCUUUUUGCAUGUACCUUAUGAAUAAGGACCGGCUAAUUCCGUGCCAGCAGCCGCGGUAAUACGGAAGGUCCGGGCGUUAUCCGGAUUUAUUGGGUUUAAAGGGAGCGUAGGCCGGAGAUUAAGCGUGUUGUGAAAUGUAGGUGCUCAACAUCUGCACUGCAGCGCGAACUGGUUUCCUUGAGUACGCACAAAGUGGGCGGAAUUCGUGGUGUAGCGGUGAAAUGCUUAGAUAUCACGAAGAACUCCGAUUGCGAAGGCAGCUCACUGGAGCGCAACUGACGCUGAAGCUCGAAAGUGCGGGUAUCGAACAGGAUUAGAUACCCUGGUAGUCCGCACGGUAAACGAUGGAUGCCCGCUGUUGGUCUGAAUAGGUCAGCGGCCAAGCGAAAGCAUUAAGCAUCCCACCUGGGGAGUAC